UCCCGCCGUGGCCUGGUGGGAAAGACACACCAGGAAGGGGACAGCACUACAGAGGUUUCUGUCUGGCCUGUGAGCUUCUCCCCAAGCUGCCUGCUCCCUCCUUGGAGCCCAGGACACAGAAUUGUUCAGCUUGGACCAACCAAGCGCCGGCAGCCUCCUGAGCCUCACUGGCGCUCAACACACAUUUGCUGCUUUGGAUUCUCCACGUUUGUUGACUUCUCGAUUUCUGCAUUUCCUCUGUUCUUCCUCAGCAACAUCACCCUCAACCCCAAUAAGCAAGGACCCUCCUUUGCAGGGGUAGGAGAGAGGAAAGGGGAGAUUGGGCUAAUUACAGCAUCUGGAGGAAGAUAAUUGGACACAGGCAUGGUUUAUGGGACUCCCAGGAUUUGCACAGUAUCGUCGUGCAAGAGCUUGGAGGAAGUGACUCAGCCAUGAACUAAACACACUCCGGUGAGGGAGACAGAUGUGUGCCCAACUAUAACUCAAGACAGAAUGGCAAACAUUGAAUCCAAACAUUGAGUGAGUGACAUUCUAGACCUUUGCUGUCCAGUAUGGCGAUCACUAGCCACACGCGGCUAUUUAAAUUUAAAAUAACUGAACUUAAAUAAAAUUUAAAAUUCAGUUCCUGGGUCACAAU
Long non-coding RNA from Trichechus manatus latirostris (Florida manatee), 637 nucleotides. RefSeq lists it as uncharacterized. The transcript has 4 exons. The record is from RefSeq and is a predicted model, not a curated record. Lineage: Eukaryota; Metazoa; Chordata; Mammalia; Sirenia; Trichechidae.